Molecule: ribosomal RNA, 253 nt
Filed under: uncultured bacterium
Lineage: Bacteria
Description: partial 16S ribosomal RNA
Rfam family: Bacterial small subunit ribosomal RNA
Source: RNAcentral
UACGUAGGGUGCAAGCGUUAAUCGGAAUUACUGGGCGUAAAGCGUGCGCAGGCGGUUAUGCAAGACAGAUGUGAAAUCCCCGGGCUUAACCUGGGAACCGCAUUUGUGACUGCAUAGCUGGAGUACGGCAGAGGGGGAUGGAAUUCCGCGUGUAGCAGUGAAAUGCGUAGAUAUCAGGAGGAACACCGGUGGCGAAGGCGCUCAUCUGGCCCAAUACUGACGCUGAGGCGCGAAAGCUAGGGGAGCAAACAGG